This is a non-coding RNA of Heterocephalus glaber (naked mole-rat), 455 nucleotides long. The record is from RefSeq and is a predicted model, not a curated record. Lineage: Eukaryota; Metazoa; Chordata; Mammalia; Rodentia; Bathyergidae.
GGUGAGUCUCAAAGCUGGUCAGUGACUUCCAGGAGGGCACAUGGAUUUGUAUUCUCAAUCCAAGUUCUGUUUGAUUUUGUAACACAAAUGGGUUCCUUUGAGAACUCAAGGAGAAAGUGGAUUCAAGUCGAAACCCUCAUGGCUGACAUUCACAGACGCCUUGACGCAAAUCCCAUAUGCUCUCAGUACUGGUUACAGGCCAGAAGCUAUUUAAAACAUGCAACAAGCUUAUAAGGUCGCACAGGACCAUCCCUGCCACCCUGGCAUUGUCACUUGGAGGCCAGCUGACUCCCCCAGACCAUGCUGAGCAGACCUCACUGUAUCUGGAUCCACACUGCAGAGGUGAUAUACAAGUGCUCCAAAGCCAUAUGAGUGCUUCUCAACAUCACCCAUCACCUGAGACAAGCCAAUCAAAUCCAUCACAAUCUGUUACAUCCUCAUGAGAGAAAUAUCAC